GUCCACGCCGUAAAACGAUGUCGAUUUGGAGGCUGUGUCCUUGAGACGUGCCUUCCGGAGCUAACGCGUUAAAUCGACCGCCUGGGGGAGUACGUUCGCAAGAAUGAAACUCAAAGGAAUUGACGGGGGCCCGCACAAGCGGUGGAGCAUGUGGUUUAAUUCGAUGAUACGCGAGGAACCUUACCAAGGCUUAAAUGUAGAUUGACCGUUUUUGGAAACAGAACUUUCGCAAGACAAUUUACAAGGUGCUGCAUGGUUGUCGU
This 263-nucleotide ribosomal RNA is filed under the name uncultured bacterium. Its description in RNAcentral is "partial 16S ribosomal RNA". It matches the Rfam family "Bacterial small subunit ribosomal RNA", at positions 793 to 1055 of the family's 1533-position model. The record is from RNAcentral.